UNUGGGCCGUUACUGACGCUGAGGAGCGAAAGCGUGGGGAGCGAACAGGAUUAGAUACCCUGGUAGUCCACGCCGUAAACGUUGGGCACUAGGUGUGGGGGGGCCUUUUCCGGGUCUUCCGCGCCGUAGCUAACGCAUUAAGUGCCCCGCCUGGGGAGUACGGCCGCAAGGCUAAAACUCAAAGGAAUUGACGGGGGCCCGCACAAGCGGCGGAGCAUGCGGAUUAAUUCGAUGCAACGCGAAGAACCUUACCAAGGCUUGACAUGUGCCGGUCGGCUCCGGAGACGGGGCUUCCUCCUUGUGGGGCCGGUUCACAGGUGGUGCAUGGUUGUCGUCAGCUCGUGUCGUGAGAUGUUGGGUUAAGUCCCGCAACGAGCGCAACCCUUGUCCCGUGUUGCCAGCACGUUGUGGUGGGGACUCGCGGGAGACUGCCGGGGUCAACUCGGAGGAAGGUGGGGAUGACGUCAAAUCAUCAUGCCCCUUAUGUCUUGGGCUUCACGCAUGCUACAAUGGCCGGUACAGAGGGCUGCGAUACCGUGAGGUGGAGCGAAUCCCUUAAAGCCGGUCUCAGUUCGGAUCGGUGUCUGCAACUCGACACCGUGAAGUUGGAGUCGCUAGUAAUCGCAGAUCAGCAACGCUGCGGUGAAUACGUUCUCGGGCCUUGUACACACCGCCCGUCACGUCAUGAAAGUCGGCAACACCCG
This 704-nucleotide ribosomal RNA is filed under the name uncultured bacterium. RNAcentral describes it as "bacterial SSU rRNA". It matches the Rfam family "Bacterial small subunit ribosomal RNA", at positions 728 to 1423 of the family's 1533-position model. The record is from RNAcentral.